Molecule: ribosomal RNA, 239 nt
Filed under: Staphylococcus simulans
Lineage: Bacteria; Bacillati; Bacillota; Bacilli; Caryophanales; Staphylococcaceae
Description: partial 23S ribosomal RNA
Rfam family: Bacterial large subunit ribosomal RNA
Source: RNAcentral
GCGUGCCUUUUGUAGAAUGAACCGGCGAGUUACGAUCUGAUGCAAGGUUAAGCAGCAAAUGCGGAGCCGCAGCGAAAGCGAGUCUGAACAGGGCGUUGAGUAUUUGGUCGUAGACCCGAAACCAGGUGAUCUACCCUUGGUCAGGUUGAAGUUCAGGUAACACUGAAUGGAGGACCGAACCGACUUACGUUGAAAAGUGAGCGGAUGAACUGAGGGUAGCGGAGAAAUUCCAAUCGAAC